CNCGNNAAAACCUUACCUACCCUUGACAUGUACGGAACUUGCCAGAGAUGGCUUGGUGCUCGAAAGAGAGCCGUAACACAGGUGCUGCAUGGCUGUCGUCAGCUCGUGUCGUGAGAUGUUGGGUUAAGUCCCGCAACGAGCGCAACCCUUGUCAUUAGUUGCUACAUUUAGUUGGGCACUCUAAUGAGACUGCCGGUGACAAACCGGAGGAAGGUGGGGAUGACGUCAAGUCCUCAUGGCCCUUAUGGGUAGGGCUACACACGUCAUACAAUGGCUGGUACAAAGGGUUGCCAACCCGCGAGGGGGAGCUAAUCCCAUAAAGCCAGUCGUAGUCCGGAUCGUAGUCUGCAACUCGACUGCGUGAAGUCGGAAUCGCUAGUAAUCGUGGAUCAGAAUGUCACGGUGAAUACGUUCCCGGGUCUUGUACACACCGCCCGUCACACCAUGGGAGCGGGUCUCGCCAGAAGUAGUUAGCCUAACCGCAAGGGGG
Molecule: ribosomal RNA, 490 nt
Filed under: uncultured bacterium
Lineage: Bacteria
Description: bacterial SSU rRNA
Rfam family: Bacterial small subunit ribosomal RNA
Source: RNAcentral